CAUGAUUUCUUCUUUGCUUAUCUGCAUCCACUUCCUAAAUGCCAGCCAUAUACAACUUCUGGAAAGUUUCCUGGUCUAUCAUGUUCACUUACUCUCACUUUUGUCUUUUACAUAUUAUUUUUCACUUGACUAAGUCAUCUUUCUUUUUCAUAACUUAUCUAAGCAUUCUUCAGCUUGUCGUUCUUGACAAAUUUUCUUACAGCGCCCAUAGUUUCCUGAACUUGACUAAACCAAAAUACUUCACACCCUAUAGUGUUAUUUCUAUCUGAUUUUGUGGCUACUCAUUUAAAUUGAGAUGCUUAAUGGCAGAGAAUGUGUUCAAUCCAUCUUUGUAACACUUUCCUUUACCACAAUACCAAGUGUUAUGGGUGAAUUGUGUUCCUAAUCCCCAACUAAAAGAUAUGUUGAAAUCCUAAUCACCAAUAUCCCCAAUGUGACCUCAUUUGUGAAUAGGAUCUCUGCAUAUUUAACCAAGUGGAGAUGAGGUCAUUAAAGUGGGCCCUAAUCCAAAUAUGCCUAGAUUAUAUUUCUAUUAAAAAGGGGGACAUUUGUACAUACGAAUACACAGGGAAAAGACUAUACGAAGACACACAGAGAGAAGGCCAUGUAAUGAUGGAAGCAGACACGGGAGUGAUGCCUUUGCAAACCAAAGACCAAAGGCUGCUAGCAAAGCAACAGAACUAGAAGAGGUGAGUGAGGAAGGGUUCCCCUACAGGUCUCAGAGGAAGCAGGGGACUACUGACACUUUAAUUUCAGACUCCUAACCUUCAGACUUUAAUUUCAGACUCCUAACCUUCAGACGUCUGAGACAGGAAGUUGUUAUUCUCUUAAGCCACCCAGCUUGUGGUACUUUCUAGUCAUGGCAGCUGUAGGAUAAACUAGGAAAGCCCUAGGAAAGUAUGUAAAGCAAUACAAAUAUCUUGAAUCAAUGAAUGGGCAGCCUCUCUCUCCAACACACGCAAAAAAUUCAAAAGUGCUAAAUGUUUGCAGCCUCCUUUUUCUGUCAUUUGGCCAGAACAAGCUAUGACUUUCUUUUUUUUUUUUUUCUGGUAAAAAUGCAGGUAAUAACAUACUACUUUCCUGAAGGAGUUGUAGUAAUUGAAUGAGUAAAUACAUAUAAAACACUUAAACAGAAAUGUUAAUACUCAAAAUAUUAUCGCUGUCAUCAUCAUUGCUAUUAUUAUUAUUGCAUGUGGCACCUAGGAGGGCAUAGUUACAUUCAGAUAUGCACAUCUAGGCCAUGGGUCCCACAAAAUCCCAGCUCUUGCACCCUACACAUGCUUUUUGCUAGAAUUACUUCCUUCAUUAGGUAAAUUUGGCAAGAAAAAUCCAAAUUCACAUCAUCUAUGCAUGUUUGUUUUCCAGAAUUUCUUUAUCAGGAUAUAGAAUUUAUUUAAAGUCGACUAAAACUAUGAGCACACUUAGAAUUUCUUGGUCAAAUAUCUGAUCCACAGAGUGCUGUAUGGAAAUCCUGCCCAAAGAUAAAAUGUUGAUGAUCUUACAGAUUUCUUUCUCUCCUUAGAGGAAUCUCCUCCUCUCCUUCUUUUCAGGAUCCUUUAGCCUAAUUCUCUUCCUAACCCCUGAUUAAAUCAUGAUCACAGGUUUGAAUAUAAGGGUAUACAAAUUAUAAAUUAUAAAUGACAGGUAAUAUAAAAAAUUUGGUCUUUUCCAAAGAAUACUUAAGACAGUUAAUCAUCAGAUGGUUCUUUAGGUAUCUUCAUGCAUGUGAGGGUAUGAGAAAGGGAUCUUGAAGUGACCUUGACAUUAAGUUAUAUUCGUAGCAAUGAGUGAAAUAUUAAUGAGGCAAAUGGCACCAUACUGGCUUGGAGUAUUGUACGUAGCUCUCCAAGCCUCUAUCAGAACCAGGGGAGAACCCAAUUUAUUAAUUUCCACAUAUUCUAGGUAAUUUAUAAGUGUUAAGAAAAAAAGGAGAGAGAAACUUUCUUUAGUACCCAAUAUUUUCAUUUUUUCAUUCUUUCAAUAAAAGAACCUGAGGAAUAAAAUGCUUUAUAGACAUACUUUGAGAGUCAUCAAAGAAAGAAGUGAACAGCGAAGUUGAAAGGAAGGCAAGAAAGAAAAUCCUCAUUGAAAAUAAAUUAGGGAGUUCCCGUCAUGGUUCAGCAGAAACGAAUCUGACUAGUAUCCAUGAGGACACAGGUUCAAUCCCUGACCUCACUCAGCAGUGGGUUAGGAAUCCAGCAUUACCAUGAGCUGUGGUGUAGGUGCAAAUGCGGCUCAGAUCCCGAGUUGCUGUGGCUGUGAAGUGGGCCAAUGGCUACAGCUCUGAUUCAGACCCUAGCCUGGGAGUUUAUGUGUGCUGUGGGUGUGGCCCUAAAAAAAAAAAAAAAUAGAGGGUUGGUUGUAAUUUGCUGAAGAUAUUCUGUGGCUUGGAAUAGCCUGUCUCUGGAACUAUUCAUGGAGUGUGUUAUUCUUUUAUAACGAACAAAUAUAGUUUGGUUGAAAAAGAAAGAUAACUAAAAUAAAGAAAAAUAAGAGAAGCAAAACACCUUCCAGUUGGCUGGUGUUAUUGGCAACACACAAGGGUGAAUUGGUGGUUUAUGCAACCAGGGAUAGGGGUUAGUGAAAGAGGGAUUAAGGAAGUAAUUAGCAGUUUCAGACUGAGCUCACAAGGCAUGGCUCCCUUUCCUCACAUUCCCACCAGCACUCUUUAAGUUUUUCAAGGCCUGUAUGAAAUUAUCAAGGACACUGCAGAAUGGGAGAGGAUCUUGUUCCCACAUUCAGAAUGAUAUUCUGCUUUCUUUGGGGUUGGAUGCAUAUUGUUUGAUGGAUAAUUGAGCUGUUAUAUAUCACUUCUGCAUAACAUUAUGCAUCAUGACUCUUUUUCCAGCAAACUGAUAAAAAUAGUAAUUUCAGACUAUACUACAUAUAAACAAGAAACUUACAGGAGUUCCCUUUGUGGCUCAGCCAUUAACAAACCCAACUAGUAUCCAUGAGGACACAGGUUCGAUCCCUGGCCUCGCUUAUUGGGUUAAGGAUCUGGCGUAGCCGUGAGCUAUCCCGCUUUCAGAUCCUGCAUUGUUGUGGCUGUGGUGUAGGCCAGGCAGCUGUAUCUCAGAUUUGACCCCUAGCCUGGGAGCUUCCAUAUGCCAUGGGUGCAUCCCUAAAAAG
Molecule: long non-coding RNA, 3129 nt
Filed under: Sus scrofa (pig)
Lineage: Eukaryota; Metazoa; Chordata; Mammalia; Artiodactyla; Suidae
Description: lncRNA (ENSSSCG00000052995.1)
Source: RNAcentral